CAUCGGAACGUGCCCAAUCUGGGGGAUAACGCAGCGAAAGCUGUGCUAAUACCGCAUACGAUCUACGGAUGAAAGCAGGGGAUCGCAAGACCUUGCGCGAAUGGAGCGGCCGAUGGCAGAUUAGGUAGUUGGUGAGGUAAAGGCUCACCAAGCCUUCGAUCUGUAGCUGGUCUGAGAGGACGACCAGCCACACUGGGACUGAGACACGGCCCAGACUCCUACGGGAGGCAGCAGAC
This 236-nucleotide ribosomal RNA is filed under the name uncultured Variovorax sp. RNAcentral's name for it is "partial 16S ribosomal RNA". It matches the Rfam family "Bacterial small subunit ribosomal RNA", at positions 116 to 354 of the family's 1533-position model. Lineage: Bacteria; Pseudomonadati; Pseudomonadota; Betaproteobacteria; Burkholderiales; Comamonadaceae. The record is from RNAcentral.